CCGUGGGUAGAUCAAAUUAUUUUGCACAUGCAGUCGAGCGGAUAGCACAGGGGAGCUUGCUCCCUGGGUGACGAGCGGCGGACGGGUGAGUAAUGUCUGGGAAACUGCCUGAUGGAGGGGGAUAACUACUGGAAACGGUAGCUAAUACCGCAUAACGUCGCAAGACCAAAGAGGGGGACCUUCGGGCCUCUUGCCAUCAGAUGUGCCCAGAUGGGAUUAGCUAGUAGGUGGGGUAAUGGCUCACCUAGGCGACGAUCCCUAGCUGGUCUGAGAGGAUGACCAGCCACACUGGAACUGAGACACGGUCCAGACUCCUACGGGAGGCAGCAGUGGGGAAUAUUGCACAAUGGGCGCAAGCCUGAUGCAGCCAUGCCGCGUGUGUGAAGAAGGCCUUCGGGUUGUAAAGCACUUUCAGCGAGGAGGAAGGUGGUGAACUUAAUACGUUCAUCAAUUGACGUUACUCGCAGAAAGAAGCACCGGCUAACUCCGUGCCAGCAGCCGCGGUAAUACGGAGGGUGCAAGCGUUAAUCGGAAUUACUGGGCGUAAAGCGCACGCAGGCGGUUUGUUAAGUCAGAUGUGAAAUCCCCGGGCUCAACCUGGGAACUGCAUUUGAAACUGGCAAGCUAAGAGUCUCGUAGAGGGGGGUAGAAUUCCAGGUGUAGCGGUGAAAUGCGUAGAGAUCUGGAGGAAUACCGGUGGCGAAGGCGGCCCCCUGGACGAAGACUGACGCUCAGGUGCGAAAGCGUGGGGGAGCAAACAGGAUUAGAUACCCUGGUAGUCCACGCUGUAAACGAUGUCGAUUUGGAGGUUGUGCUCUUGAGGCGUGCUUCGGAGCUAACGCGUUAAAUCGACCGGCUGGGGAGUACGGCGGCAAGGUAAACUCAAAUGAAUGACGGGGCCCGCACAGCGGUGGAGCAUGUGGUUAAUCGAUGCAUCGCGAAGACCUUACCUACUCUGACAUCAGAGACUUUCAGAGAUGAUGUGCUCGGGACUCUGAGACAGUGCUGCAUGCUGUCGUCAGCUCGGUGUGAAUGUGGUAAGUCCGCAACGAGGCACUAUCUUGUGCAGCGUCGCGGAACUCAAGAAACUGCAGUGUAUAACUUGAGAGUGAUGACUCAGUCACUAGCUUACGAAUGGGCUACAUGGUCAUGCUACGGUGCCCCUCGGAACAGCGACCUAAAGCACGCACUGA
Molecule: ribosomal RNA, 1193 nt
Filed under: Serratia marcescens
Lineage: Bacteria; Pseudomonadati; Pseudomonadota; Gammaproteobacteria; Enterobacterales; Yersiniaceae
Description: bacterial SSU rRNA
Rfam family: Bacterial small subunit ribosomal RNA
Source: RNAcentral